UACGUAGGUGGCAAGCGUUGUCCGGAAUUACUGGGUGUAAAGGGAGCGUAGGCGGGAAAGCAAGUUGAAUGUUUAAGGUACGGGCUCAACCUGUACAAGCGUUCAAAACUGUUUUUCUUGAGUGGAGUAGAGGUAAGCGGAAUUCCUAGUGUAGCGGUGAAAUGCGUAAAAAUUAGGAGGAACACCAGUGGCGAAGGCGGCUUACUGGGCUUUAACUGACGCUGAGGCUCGAAAGCGUGGGUAGCAAACAGG
This 252-nucleotide ribosomal RNA is filed under the name uncultured bacterium. RNAcentral describes it as "partial 16S ribosomal RNA". It matches the Rfam family "Bacterial small subunit ribosomal RNA", at positions 524 to 776 of the family's 1533-position model. The record is from RNAcentral.